Molecule: long non-coding RNA, 2645 nt
Filed under: Homo sapiens (human)
Lineage: Eukaryota; Metazoa; Chordata; Mammalia; Primates; Hominidae
Description: non-protein coding lnc-NLRP3-1:6
Source: RNAcentral
CCGGGGGCUUUGUGGGUCAGCCACGUCGCCGCGCCCGGGCUUCCCCGCGGGCCCGCCGGUCCGGAAGGUCGGCCCGGGGCUCUUUUCUCCGCUGUUCUCCUUCUCUGGCGCCCCCAGGACACGCGGCCAGUGGACGCCCGGAACGGCCGACCGGGAGUCGCGGCUGGGGAUGGAAGCUGGAAUUGGGGGUGCGGGAUGGAGCGGAGAGAGGAGGCCCCGCGCGCCGUCGGCCGCCUCAUUUCAGACUCCCCUGCGACCCCCCCCCCGCCGCCAGCCGAAGCCCGGGCCGCCCAGCCCCUCCUGCCGCUGCGGGACGCCGAAGGUAGCGCUCACAUCCGCGCCUUCCGGGCCUGGCGCCCACGUGCGGAGUCCCCGGGUUAGGAAAGGCCGCGCAUCCGGAGGCCACGCAGAGCCUCGGGGCUUGCGCAGAGGGGCUGCGGUGAGUCCUGACCCUGAGUGGGGGUCACGGGGCUCGUUGCUCGCUGAAGUGAACACGGUUGCAGCUGUGCACAGUGGCGGAGGGAGAGGAUGAGGGACUCUGACCCAAGGUUAUGUGGCAGUGAGGGGCAAGCAGAAAUGGGGGCCUCCGGACCCCACCCCGAGACAGGGCUGCUGGCCGCUGCACUAUGCUGAAUAUAGCCCAAAUUCUUACAUGGGUCGUCCCCGGGGAAUGCUCAUUUUUCAGGCUCCAGAGCUUGAGAGAAAGUGCGAACCCGGUCCCUGAGCAGGUCUGAUUCCCAUGGCCCCUUCGCCAUCUGCUCUGCACCGAAAUUGGAUUCUCCUACGCAGAGGAGAAGGUGGAGAAGAUUCUCCGUCUUCCGGAGGGUAGCUACUGCCGGUAGCUCCGAUUUCCUUCGGAUCCCCUUUCAAGGGCAAGCAGAAGGAAAUCAGUUUCUCCAAAGAAAGUGGCCCGGCUGAGUAAGUGGGAACAAGGUGGUUGGACUGAGGCACGGGAUCCUUUAGCUCCGUUGCUCUUCUAAUCCCGUGGCCCUGGGCACCGCCACUUCCUCCUCUGAACUGCUGGAAUAAUCACUUCUGACUAGCAGAGUUACUGGGAGCCGCUGUUUGUCAGUGUUCACAUUCUGACUUUAGCAGGAGAUGGAGCGAGCGAAGGAGUGAAGCCCUUGUUUGUGAACAGUGAUUGUUUCCCGGAUGACAGCCAGAUGCCGGGCAGGGCCACGCAGAUCUUAGCUGGAGCCUACAGGUACAAGUGAGAGCCACCCCCUUUGACGUAACUGGACUGGCAUUUACAGAACUCAUGUACAGCCCACUCUCAGGAACACCAGCCAGGAACCGUGACAUGGAGGAGAGGAAUUGGGAGGAACCGAGGGGUCAUCAAAGGCUGGUAGGGCUUAGGUGCUCUAGCAAACAUCCUAGUCUGUGGGGUUCCAGAGCUCUGGUGCUACAGCUCCCAACCCUUUGAUUGGCCCAGGAACUGGCUGUUGAGUGGGCAUCCGUGUUCAUAGCUCUGCCCCUUGCAACCCUAAAGCAGAUAAAAUGCAGGAGGCAGAAAUUGCUGGCAGACAGCAUCCAAUUAAUCCCCACUACCCAAUUCAGUUUCUUCCCCUGACCUGACACGUCCCUGCCCAGCUGUGCCUCCCACUGUUCACCUUUUGAGGCACAAAACGGGCUGUUUAUGCUGCUGCUGCAUUUAGCUCAAAACAGGGCUUCAGAGUCAAGGUUCUGGACUCAGGCACCCGGAUUAAAUCCUGCCCUAUGAAUUCCUAGCCAGGUGACCUCAGGCCUACAUAACCUUUCUGUACCUCAACUUCCUCAUCCAGAAAACAGGGAUGAUGCUGUCUACCUCAUUGGAUGGUUGUGCAGGAUCAAAGAUUCAGUCAUUCAGCAAACCUAUACCGAGUACCUACUGUACACUCAUGAGUGCUAGGCAGCCAGCCUUCCAGGUGCUCAGGUACAUCUGUGAACACAACUGGCUAUUGGAGGAAGCAAAAUCAGUAACAUGACCUGCUCUCUUUGAUCUGUGCUACAGAAAAAAAGGAAAGUGGAGAGGCAUCAGGAAGUCAGGAGUGCUGGGGAGGGGCUGGUAACAGUCAUGGUAUUAAAGAGGAGGGCAGGCAGGCCUUACUGUGAAGGUGGUAUUUGAGAUGAAGUAGUUGGUCAGAGUCCCUGUUUGACACAUGGAGACCACCUUGACAGCAAAGGCCCUAAGGGGGAGCGGUGCGAAGCAAGGUGGGCUGGUGAGUGAGAGGAGAGGGAUGGCAUAGAGCUGGGUGGGGGCACAGGAGCCCGUGGGGAAGGUGUUCGCCUCUGAAUGAAGUGGGGUUGUAUCAGAUACCACGGGUGAAGCAUCGGGAAGAGGAUCCUGCCUGUAAACCCUGCUCAAGGACUGCACCAUCAUCAUGCCCAGUGUGUGCGUGUAUUAGGUUUGUAUGAAUAUAAUGUUGCCAAUUGUAUCUGUUUUUAUGAAAUGUUUGCUAUGUGCCAAUGAUUAUUCGAUCCAUGGGGAGACCAUAGAAGAAUGAUCCAAGGAGUUGGGAGGGGAAUCAAAUAAUAAAUCAGCGAUUCUGCAAUAUAACGCCAUUGGUGAUCGGUGUCAUGAAAGAAAUACAACAUGGUGGGGAAGAGUGUGCUGGGGAUGUUCAGGUAGGGCCUCUGUCAGGAGGUGACAUUUGAGUGGAGAGCAG